GGUCUGAAGGUAGUGAGUUAUCUUAAUUGAUUGCUUAGUCAGUUACAGAUCAAACCUCCUUGUUCUACUCCUUCUCCCCUUCUCACUAGUGCACUCGACUAAAAAAUAAA
This is an unclassified non-coding RNA of Saimiri boliviensis boliviensis (Bolivian squirrel monkey), 110 nucleotides long. It matches the Rfam family "Y RNA". Rfam says of the family: Y RNAs are components of the Ro ribonucleoprotein particle (Ro RNP), in association with Ro60 and La proteins. Lineage: Eukaryota; Metazoa; Chordata; Mammalia; Primates; Cebidae. The record is from Ensembl.